UGUCUCCUCCACCUCCUCCUUUGGUGGAUUAAACCCGAACCGCUCGUUCGGGUUUUUUUUC
The sequence is a small RNA, 61 nucleotides long. It matches the Rfam family "Betaproteobacteria toxic small RNA". Rfam says of the family: Overexpression in amino aid rich medium attenuates growth, suggesting role in repressing amino acid intake and metabolism. The record is from Rfam.